RNAcentral lists this long non-coding RNA (2248 nucleotides) under Arabidopsis thaliana (thale cress). Its description in RNAcentral is "potential natural antisense gene, locus overlaps with AT5G07150 (AT5G07152)". The record is from RNAcentral. Lineage: Eukaryota; Viridiplantae; Streptophyta; Magnoliopsida; Brassicales; Brassicaceae.
CUCACACAUUUUAUCUUAUAUUGACCCAAAAUAAAACCCAAAAAAAGAAAGAAAGAAAUCAUCUUCAGACUUUAAAUUUGCAGAGAGUACAGAGAUGAUGAUGGUACAUUAGUUUACUGUGCAAUUGAUAUAUCUACAUUUCGGUGGAUAUAAUCUCCAGCUCCGCCCACCACGCCGGAGACCGACUAGGCAACGCUGCUUCCGGCGUUAUUCCGGUGAUCUCUCUCAGCUUAACCACCACUUCCUUCAUUUCCACCUUCUGACUCAAACACUCUUUAACCACUUCCCACACUCUCUCCAUGACCUCCUCUUGAAAGCUUUUCAGAGUCGGGUCUGCAACGGGUUUGGUUUCUUCCUGGAGCAGAGAAUCUGGAUCCGGGAUCUUUCCGGUGAUGAUCUCUUGUAGAAGGGCGCCAAAGCUGGAUACGUUGGUCAUGGGGUCAAGUGGUGUGGAGCUGAGGAACGUAAAGUCUGAGACUUUGGCUGCGUAAUCUGUUGCCAAGUAGACUGAAGAAGAGUUGAGGUUGGUGUGAGAGAUGGGUUUAGGGUUUAGAUUGUGCAUAUGUUCCAUACAGUAAGCUAUUCCCAUUACGAUUCUCAGUCUCAUUGGCCAGUCCAAAUGCUCUGCGUCUUGGUCUGCAACAUAAUAUUACAGUUACAAGUUUAAAAAAUAGAUGGGAGGGACUGAGUCUGUUGGAAGAAGUGGCAUUACUACUACUCACCGUGCAGAUGCUCGAAGAGGGAUCCAUUAGGAGCGUAUUCGAAAACUAGCAUUCGGUUGAAUGGUUCGUCUUCAUGGCAAUAUCCGAUUACAUUGAGGAAGUUCUUGUGGUUCACUUGAGAUAACCUCUGUAUCUGCAUUGCAUGAUUUGUAUGUGUUUUAAAGAAGAGGAGAAAGAAUGCAGAAAGAGGUUUCUGAUGUUACCUUUUCUUGGAACUGUGUUUCGUGAUCCUCUGACCAGUCUUGGAGGGAUCCAGAUGCAACUGCUAGAACGGCAAUUUCAGAGCCGGUGGAGAGAGUUCCUUUGUAAAUGGUGGCGUCUGAGGAUGUGGAGCCUAUGAUGUUACUGAAAUCUUCACAGGCAGUUUCUAGUUCUGCUAGCUUCAGCUUGGGAACACCUUCAUAAGUCAUAAUAAAUACACUAAACUCACUUUCACCAAUCUCUGCUAUGUUAUUGAACUAGAGAGUAAACAUAACAGUGAUGAUACCUGUAGUAACAACAUCUUGAAGCUGGCCACUGCUCCCAGUUUCCCCCCAUGGCUUUAUCAAUUUUACCUUUUGGUUCCAGAGAAAAAAGAAGGCCACCAAUGCGGCCAUGACGCCUAAUACACCUACUAGCACUCCGACUAUUAUGUACAUCUUACUCUUAUGAGAUUUCUUUUUGUUGACAGCAUGAGGCACUUCAGAAAGCUGAGGUGGUGGAGUCUGAGCUGGUGGAGGCUGAGCUGGUGGAGGGGGAACUGGAGACGGGUUUGGGAUAACUUGGGUUUCAGUAGGAGGGCUUGCACCUAUAUUCUGCGGAGGAGGGGCAAAGAAGAAAGGAAAAUCAAUGGGGACUUCCUCCAUAGGCGAUGGAGGAGAAGGUUGAGAAGGAGGGGGAGAUAUCUGAAGCAGCCUGCGAGCGAAGGGAAAUGGUUGGCCAAAGUUGUUGUCACACAAAUCCAAGAUCUCAAGCUCCUGCAAUUCUGUUACCUCUUCAGGACUCGGAUAUGACUUACAAGAUGACAACUCUUCCAUCAUGUGAACAGACAACACCAGACCAAGAACAAUGAGAAAGCUCUCCCCAAUUAACCAGAGCUCCAAAUGGGUCUAUCUCUAUUCUCUCUUUGAAUUUCAUCAAGGCCAAUGCUGCAAAACACACAAGAGUUAAUCCAUCAAUCAAUAGUCGAAUAGACUCAGAAAGAAAGAUGAAACAAAAGUAAGUACCUUCGGUGUUGAAACAGAGACCAAAGGUGAGAUUGUGAGGAAGAAAGAAGAGGAAGAAGAAGAUGAAGAAUGCUGGUCGGAGCAAUCUCCACCGUUGAUCGGAACUCAUCCUUUUCUGUUUUGUUGGAGCAGUUCAAGUCGUCGUCCAGAAAAGAAGACAAAUCAAUGGCUGCUCCUUUUUAUAUCCCACCUUCUUCAUUUUUGAUUUGUUAUUUGUCAUUGUUUUUGAUAUAUACAAAUGUUUAACCAUAGAAACAAACAUUUACAAGUUGGAAAAAAUGUAAAUACAAUUUUAAUUUAAAUAUACACACCAUUUGCAAU